Molecule: ribosomal RNA, 1350 nt
Filed under: metagenome
Description: bacterial LSU rRNA
Rfam family: Bacterial large subunit ribosomal RNA
Source: RNAcentral
UGAGUACGAGCGGCUACGGCCGCGAAGUGGAUGAUGUCAAGCUUCCAAGAAAAGCCCUAUACCCGUUAAGGCAUGAUGGCCUGUACCCGAAACCGACACAGGUGGGGUGGUAGAGAAUACCGAGGGGCGCGAGGUAACUCUCUCUAAGGAACUCGGCAAAAUGGCCCCGUAACUUCGGGAGAAGGGGUGCCACCGCGAGGUGGUCGCAGUGAAGAGGCCCAGGCGACUGUUUACCAAAAACACAGGUCUCCGCUAAGUCGCAAGACGAUGUAUGGGGGCUGACGCCUGCCCAGUGCCGGAAGGUUAAGGAAGCUGGUCAGCGCAAGCGAAGCUGGCGACUGAAGCCCCGGUGAACGGCGGCCGUAACAAUAACGGUCCUAAGGUAGCGAAAUUCCUUGUCGGGUAAGUUCCGACCCGCACGAAAGGCGUAACGAUCUGGGCGCUGUCUCGGAGAGAGGCUCGGCGAAAUAGAAUUGUCUGUGAAGAUGCGGACUACGUGCACCCGGACAGAAAGACCCUAUGAAGCUUUACUGUAGCUUGGUAUUGUGCUCGGGCUCGGAAUGCGCAGGAUAGGUGGGAGGCUUUGAUCCAUUGCUUGCGGGUGAUGGUGAGCCACUGGUGAGAUACCACUCUUUCCGAGCUAGAGUUCUAACAGCAACCCGUUAUCCGGGUGCUGGACAGUAUCAGGUGGGCAGUUUGACUGGGGCGGUCGCCUCCUAAAAGGUAACGGAGGCGCGCAAAGGUCUGCUCAGGCUGGUUGGAAAUCAGCCGACGAGUGUAAAAGCAGAAGCAGGCUUGACUGUGAGACCUACAAGUCGAACAGGGAGGAAACUCGGCUUUAGUGAUCCGACGGUUCUGCGUGGAAGGGCCGUCGCUCAACGGAUAAAAGUUACUCUAAGGAUAACAGGCUGAUCUCCCCCAAGAGUUCACAUCGACGGGGAGGUUUGGCACCUCGAUGUCGGCUCAUCGCAACCUGGGGCUGAAGUCGGUCCCAAGGGUUGGGCUGUUCGCCCAUUAAAGCGGUACGCGAGCUGGGUUCAGAACGUCGUGAGACAGUUCGGUCCAUAUCCGGUGCACGCGCAGGAAUAUUGAGAGGAUUUCUCCCUAGUACGAGAGGACCGGGAGGAACGCACCUCUGGUGUGCCAGUUAUCGUGCCAACGGUAAACGCUGGGUAGUCAUGUGCGGAGUGGAUAACCGCUGAAAGCAUCUAAGUGGGAAGCCCACCUCAAGAUGAGUAUUCCCAUGGCAUAAGCCAGUAAGGUCACGGGAAGAACACCCGUUGAUAGGCUCUACGUGGAAGCGCAGUAAUGUGUGAAGCGGAGGAGUACUAAUAGACCGAGGGCUUGACC